This 7232-nucleotide long non-coding RNA is filed under the name Triticum aestivum (bread wheat). RNAcentral's name for it is "long non-coding RNA (TAES_LNC004652)". Lineage: Eukaryota; Viridiplantae; Streptophyta; Magnoliopsida; Poales; Poaceae. The record is from RNAcentral.
CCUGGGUGAGAAAAGGAAGGCGUGGGGCUGGAUCGUGGUGCACGGUGAAAACCUAGCCACCAAUCCCUCGCAUCCCCGAACAACCAAUCCCUCCGCUCCCCUCGAGCCCCGCUCCCCUCCUCUCCUGCCCUCCCCUGCGUUGCCGCCUCCUCCCCUUCUCCCCUGCUCUCCACUACGCCGCCUCCUCCGCCCUUUCACUUUUCUCUCCCGCGGCGGCGACGAUCUGCAGGCAAAAGGCGACGCCGACGGUGCUCGAUUCGAUCUGCAGGAGAGAGAGAAGAUAAGAGGGAGAGAGAGAGAAGGAAGGAGAGGAGGGAGAACUCCGUUGCCGCCACGUGCCGUGCUUCUGGAUCGAGCGCUGCCUGACCAAGGGAUAAGAGUAUGAGGUAAAACUAGCCACCAUGCUCCUGUGCGGGCUGCAUCCCCACAUCUCUCGUUUCAUUAUUUCACCAUCGCUGCCUCUUCUCCUCUUCGUUGCUCUGCUUCUUCCCCUGAUUCCUCUUUUUCAUGUUUUCUCUUUGUGGCGCCGCCGGGGAUGAGAGGAGCAGCUGCUGAAGCAGGUGCGGCGCUGGUGCACUGCUGGCGAAGCGGUCGUCGACGGUGCCGUCGACGUCGUCCUUGGCAGAAGGUAAGCCAAGAUCAAUCUCUCACAAUAUUCCUUUGUCGUCGAUGUUCUUAUGAAACUUAGUGAUUGGACUUUCUCUGUUAUGUUUCACACAUUGCUACUUUUAGUUAUCCCCAUUGGCUUGCGGAUAUGCUCCUGCUGAGUUGUUCUUGUUUAUUUUCUCUAUCCAACAUCAUUGCAGGUUGGUGCUUCCUCUCCUUCUCACUGCAGCUACCUAUGCCUGUAUUAUUCUAGGAUUUUGCAAGUUAAAUACUCAUGUGUGCUGAACUGAAAAGUUCUCUAUGCAACAUCUAUUGCAGGUUGGUGUUUCCUACCUAUGCCUCUAUUAUUCUACGAUUUUGAAAGUUAAUUGCUCAUGUGUGCUGAAUUGAAAAGCUCAAUGAAAGGCACUUAUUUCUAUGCACAAAUGCUUUUGUUGCUAUAAGAAUAUGUAGAGAAGAAAGCAUUUAGCACUGCUGCCCCUGCUGUACAUAAUUAGAGGAAUAGUUUGGUUCAGUUAGAGGAAUUGGUGUUUUUGGAUAGUGAUGUUUGGGCCAAUUCUGGGCUGAUCAGUCCAUAAUUUCAAGAGUCUCCAAAUAUAAGUUGUAGUGUAGGUCUCAAGCUUUCCAAAGAGUAUUUGUUUGUGCUUUUUGGCCGGGCAGUUUCAGAGCAGCCAUCAAUUUAAUGUUUUGUCCAGGAAGUUAUUAUCCUGAGUGCAGUUUUUUCAUUUGCCAGUUUAGGGCCUGUUAGAGGUUGAAUUAAAAUAAACUUUCAACAUGAAAGUUGUAGAUAAGUUGCUGUAGAUGCUUAUACACUUAUAAUUUGUCCGAAUUCCUCUUCUAUAUCGAAUCAUAUAAAAAUAUUAAAGGAGGUUGUACUAUGUUGGACAGAAUUUUAUUCUCAGCUUCAUCGGCGUCAGCUUCAUCACCAAGAGGACGGACUCCGGAAGGCAGCCCCCUCCUAAGGCGCCAGGGCCGGUAACUCCCGAAACGUCCAUCCUUCCUAACAUUAUUUUCUGGUGAUGCACCGUUAGGGUUCGUGUUCAUUGCCAUUUUGGAUUCAUAUGUGAAGUCUAUUGUUGUUAAUUACAGUUAACUAAUUUCUUAAUUCAUGGUUGUUUUAGUUGCUGACCAUAUGAUUGGUAGCCUUGGACAGAAGAGGGCCAGCAACAAACAGAAGCAACCACUGUCCUGUCCAGAACAUGUAUAUCUUCAGUUUUGGUUGCCUUCCGUUUACUUGCCAACAAGCGACACUGAGCUCACAUAUUUAUUGUUUGCUUUGUUAUAUACUUAAUCUGCUAGACAAAGUGUAAAAGGGAAAUUCAUGCUCGACAAUUUUGUAUAUUUAUAAACCUAGAUGCUACUCUAAUUGGUUUUACUUCUUCCAUAUAUUUUCUCCUCCCAGUGUGUAUAAACAGUGCACAAAGUUAAUUUCUUUUCCGUCUUGACCGCAUCUAAUUUUAAAGAAAAUAGAGAGGAAUCUGAGAGAUACACAACCAGAAGAAUUUUGUUUCUUUGACUUAUCAAUCAUGUCUAACUUUUGGUAAAAGAGAGGAAUUUGAGAUAGAUAGAUAGCCUGAACAGCUUUGAACAGCUUUGAACAUCCGAGUAUGCUGCCGGCCUCCUCGCCGUGCACCAGUGUGUGGCAGCUGCUGAGAUGUGCGCAGUUUACUCCCGGUUCCGUGAUGGUGUUGAAAAGCACCUUAACUGAGCCAAGGAAUUUAGUAGCAUUGUGGGACGAUUAACCAAAUUUUUUCCUCUUCCUAUACUAUCUUCUCAUAUUAUAAUUUUGGUGUCCUGGUAGGCAGGGAUCAGCUUUGGUGGCAUCCGAUGCUGCCAGGCCACGGGGUUAGAGCAGAGGAGGCUGACAUGGUGUUCGACAUUCAGAUGGUCAUUGUGAUCGACCAGAUGCGGCGCCUCAUGUCACCCCGAGCCUCCAGGACUUGUUAGCGGUGCUCAUAAAGUAAGCUCAUAGAGUAAGAAUAUGCUUGCAAGUGCUCAUUUCCCAUAUGCUUGCCCACUCCUGUCUCGCAUCAAGCUUUCAUUUAUUUCCCUAAAAUUCCUCUAAUUUUGUUGUGUGCAUGUCUGAGAAAGAAAUAAGAGGAAUAAGCUAUGGUACGUCUUGGCGAAGUACAUUAUUUCCCUGGCUUGUGAAGUUAAUGCGCCCAAAUUCGCGUACAGUCUGGUUUCGGACUAACAAUGGCUCCUUGUGUUAUAUUGCAACUAGAAAAAGAGAUGGGCAUAAUAAAGAAGCUUGGUGAACAAAUAUAUAUCUGAACCCUCUACACAGUAUAGAUGCUAUAAUUUUUGUUAAAUGGAAGUUAGAUUCAGAUUCUUAAAAAUAUUAUCAUUCAGUCCUAUACAUACAAAGUACCUGCAACCCGCAUCUCUAAACAACGCGAACCUAUCCACAAUCAUAAACUUGUGUAUUGAUCCUCCAUUCAGAUUUCUUAUUAGCUCAUUCUGGCCUGUGUGAAAUUUUUGUGUUUGCUUUACAAUGGCCCAAUGCAUUUCGGUCGAUAUAUAUGUGAUGCCAUUGGUUGGCCUGGAUCGGAUAGCUAGGUUUGAUCGAUUCGGUUAAUAUAUGUUUAUGUUUCUGUUUAGGUUUCAGCACCUUUUGAUGCGUGUGCGUGCUGCCAUUGAUUAACUUCAUCUGUUUUGCUGGCUAUUCUAUGUGCAUUUACAUGUAUAGGAUAGUCAUUUUGAUUCAGUUAAGAUAUGUUCAGAUUUCUGUUUAGAUUUCGGCACCUUUUAAAUGUGCUACCAUGGGGUAACCUGAGUCUAUUUUAAUGGCAACGGGACCUGCAAGUGCAUGGCCCACUGCUAAUAGUCCUAGAAGCGAUCGAAAUUGUUGCUAUUUUGACUUUGUCUGCUACAUGGACUGCUAUUCUGAUCUCUAUGUUUUCCCAUUGCUUCAUUCAGUAUGUCCACGUAAAACCAGAAAUUACAUGCAUUUGAAUGAUGAUAGCUUAGCACUCGAUGAUAAAUGUGAUGUUGUUUUAUGUUAAUGUGAAACCCGAUCUAUCGGUUGUUAGUUUGAAUCAGUACCCAAGCCAUCCUCCUCACUGCCCUCCUCUUAGUUAUUUAGGUAGUUCUUCCUUCUUGGGUAACAAUGAGAAAACGAUUAGGUUGGUUACACAGUAUACUUCAUGAUUGCGGUAGGCACAAAAUGCUUGGCAGACUAAAAUAACUAUGCCUCAUUUCUAUUAUCAAGCUCUAAGUGUAUAUUGAGAUGCCUUUGUACAAUGGAAGAUCCAUGGGGUUGUUUGUUUGCUUGUAGAUUUUCGUGCAGAUAUUUGAAUUGUGCAAAUUUUUAAUUUGAGUUAUAAUUUGUUGUCUCUCGAUGUCGCUAAUUUUGUAUGAGCUGGAGGUGACCAUUAUCAUGUUCUUUCUAUUUUUUAUAGACAAUGUUUUAUUUCUAAUAUUUAGUUUCAUUCCAAGAUUAAUGAUGCUUUCACUCUGUUUUCAAAUUGACAAUUUCCGCCGACCGUUGUUGCACUCAAUGAUGGUUGAUGCCAACGUCGUCCAUUAGCAUUUAUUAUGUUGAAAAUUGCUUCACUCGGUCAUCUCUGCUUUUGACGCCACAAAAACAUGUGACAACUAAUUUAUGCUUGAUUAUUUGCUCAUUUUUAUUCCUUAUACAUUUAGCUCUUGUCCUUGAUUAGUUCAUUUGCAAGGAGAGUGUUUGUGUUCAACAUAAUAUUCCAUUUCCAGGUUUGCACUAAAACUAACUGCAAUAGAAGAAAGUGCAUGAAGAAUGAACAAGGAAAAGCUACAGAUUGAUAUGUAUAGGUUACAAAUUUUUCUACCUCCACCCCAUAUUCCCACUUAUGGUUCAGUGAAGAGUAUGAUUUCUCGCUUGGGAGGAUGCCAUACACAAGAUAUGCAUUUGUUUCCGAUGCCUUUUCAUUACAGUUGCUUUUGUUUAAAUUAUAAAGAGUUAAAUACAUCAUGAGUGCCUAAACUUGUUCGUUGCGCUCAGUUUAGUGCCUAAACUUGUAAAAUACAAAAAAAAUGGUGCUAUAACUUGUCGCACGGUGCAUAUACGGUGCCUCCACCCGUAUGCCAUCGUAUUUGCUCUCUGUGUGGCGUGACAACUGGCAGCUGGCCCACAGAUCAGUGGGUGAGCGUUGUCUGCGCUGGGUGAAAUGCAUACGAGUUGUUUUUGCAGAAAUUUACGUGAGAUUUAAUUAAAGUCACAAAUAAGCCAUUGUUCUAUAUGCUAAUAACAGGAAAAAAAUUACUGUGUCAUUGAAUUGGUUUUGACCUUGGGACCUCCAGGUUAAAUAGCACGCACGCUAGACGCCAAGACUAAUAUUACUUAUACAAUCUACUAUCGCUCUGCAAUUUCCAUUAUAUUGUUUUCAAGUUACCGUUUGGUUUUUACAAUAUAUGUAAAAUUUCCAAUAUACAAAUACGCAACAAUUGUCUAUUAAAAUCUUUAUUCUAUUUUUAUUAUUUGUAGUUUGAAGAGGUAAACCCGAACUGUUUGUAAAAUUUAUAUGGAUUUAAAAAGUUCAACAUAUAUUAUAAAAUAUUGCCUAACUUUUUUGUAUCUUCAUCCAGAACUAUUUUGUAUCUUCAUUGUAUUUUUAAAAUACAUAAUUAUUUAAAAAUCAACAAAGUUGUAUUUUGAAAAUUGUUCAAUAUGUAUUAAAAAUGAUUGUGUAAAAAGAAUAAAUUCAAUAAAUGGGUUAAAACAUGUUAAACGUGUUUGUAGAAAUGUAAGAAUAAUUUUACACAAUAAUUAUUUUAAUACAUAUAGAACAUUUUAUGAAAUUGAUGUUGUAAUUUUUUUUGAAUGCGUGACGGUCAUUUUUCAAAUACACGUUUACAAUGUCUUAAUAGAAGUGAGAAUUUUCCAAAAAUAUGUUGACUUUUUGGAAAAAUACACGUUGAAAAUGCACUGUUCUUGGCCUAUUGGUUAGCACAUGUGCACAUUGUGCGCGAGGUAAUGAAGUCGAAUGCUGCCGGUGUGUGCUCUUUUUUCUUGUUAUUACACUCUAUUUUAUCCCACAUGCUGACAUGCAGGGCGUAGAUCUGACAGAUGAGGUAAAUGCAGUUUGGCAUAUUUAAAUAAAAAAUAUCAGGAGGUUUUGUGAAAAUUAUUUAAAGUACAAGGAAUUUUCUGUAAAACAACUAGCACACACCUCUCACAGGAAUUGACAUGUGGGUCGACGCCAUGUUGACACACCAUGUGGGCUUUGCAUAUGCCUAAAUACGGACAGAGGCACUGUAUUUGAACGUUCAAACAAGUUACGACACCAGUUUCAUGUAUUUUACAAGUUUAGGCAUCAAAGUGAUCGCAUCGGACAAGUUGAGGCACCCGUGAUGUAUUUAGCUCAAUUAUAAAAGCAGCCUUCUAGAGCAGAUCAUUUUUUAUGGAUAUAUGACGACAGGUUUGCGAUUGCAUUGUCAAAAGCAAACCUAGGGUGUUUGAUGUUUCCAUGUAGUUUUAAAACAACCUCCUAGCACUGUUCAUUAUAUAUAUACAUUGAUGCGCUUCUCCAUAUUUGAGGCAUCGUUUGGGUUUUAUCUACUUGUCCAUGAAGGAUGCUUCAUGAGGAAAAUUCCUCAUAUAAUAUUUUUUGAGAGGAAGAGUUUAGGGAGUACUAUAAUUCUGAAGAUAUGCCAGAGAAUUGAAUAUGAACUCACAUAAAGAAUCGAGAUUACAAACGUAGAGGCUUCACUAGAAGAGAGGCCCUUUCUGUAGAUCACAAGAGACAUGUUUUUUGUAGGUACAAGAACCAUAUUUCUAUUUACGAUUAUCUCCUAGCAAUGAAAGUCGUAUGUGACAAACAUGAAUAAGCUAGGGGAAAGGUCAACUGCUCUCUUCCUUUUUGUUUUGAGUGUUAACUUCUGUUUUCAAUUUCCAACUUUGUGCAACUAUUUUCUAUAUAUGUAUAGGUGCUUGCUAUGUUAGAGAUAAAAAAGGAUCUUGGUUACAGCAAGCCACGUGGGGGUUACAGCAAGCCACGUGAGCACAUGGCAUGGAGAAAUGCCAGUGUUCUUGAAAUCCCUUGUUGCAUUUGUUCUUUGUCCUUCUGGGAUGUUACUAAGACAUCCUUUACUAAGACAUCAUUUUCUUAGGUAUUGAGUAGGAUUUUAGCUGCACAACUUGUUGAAAAAAAUCAAUGCUUAAGUUGACGAUAAGGUGAUGUUUGGCCUUGGCCUUUUGUUCUAAUCAUUUGUUGUUAUUAUCACAUAUCAUUUCAUCAUUUUUUUUGGCUUCAUUCUUUCCUUCCUGCUUGCGGCAGGUAGAAGACUCGGGUAAUGGGCAGGUAGAAGACUCGGGCAACGGUUAAUUGACAAGCACUAUAUACACAAUGCAUCUCUGCUAAUAUAGCUUACUUUAUAAAGCCAUCAAUGUAUGCUAUUAUCAAGUGAUUUGAAUAUUUUAUUUUAAGCUAUCAUAUAAUGGAAUAUAAGUAUCCAUUAACUUGGUUCUAAACCAGUCUAAUAUGCAUGGUUUGAAUGCUCGGCUUGCUCUCCUUUUUGCGUGAUAUGAAUAUUUUCUUUUAAGCUAUAAUGUAAUGGAAUGUAAGCAUUUAUUAAGUUGGUUUAAAUCAAUCUCAUAUGCAUGAUUUUAAUACUCGGCUGGCUCUUUCCUUUUGCGCUAUGGGCGCAAC